RNAcentral lists this transfer RNA (72 nucleotides) under Apaloderma vittatum (bar-tailed trogon). It matches the Rfam family "tRNA". From Rfam's summary of the family: Transfer RNA (tRNA) molecules are approximately 80 nucleotides in length. Their secondary structure includes four short double-helical elements and three loops (D, anti-codon, and T loops). Lineage: Eukaryota; Metazoa; Chordata; Aves; Trogoniformes; Trogonidae. The record is from Rfam by way of RNAcentral.
GGCCAGUUAGCUCAGUCGGUUGAGCAUGGUGCUGGUAACACCAAGGCCACGGGUUCAAUCUCUGUUUGGUCC